CAGCCGCCGCGGUAAUACGUAGGGUGCGAGCGUUCAUCGGAUUUACUGGGCGUAAAGCGUGCGCAGGCGGCCCGUUAAGACAGGUGUGAAAUCCCUGGGCUCAACCUAGGAAUUGCGCUUGUGACUGGCGGGCUCGAGUACGGUAGAGGGGGGUGGAAUUCCUGGUGUAGCAGUGAAAUGCGUAGAGAUCAGGAGGAACACCGAUGGCGAAGGCAGCCCCCUGGGCCUGUACUGACGCUCAUGCACGAAAGCGUGGGGAGCAACCAGGAUUAGAUACCCUGGUAGUCCACGCCCUAAACGAUGGGUACUAGCCGUUUGGUGCGCGAGAGCGCUGAGUGGCGAAGCUAACGCGUGAAGUACCCCGCCUGGGGAGUACGGCCGCAAGGUUGAAACUUAAAGGAAUUGGCGGG
RNAcentral lists this ribosomal RNA (410 nucleotides) under uncultured microorganism. Its description in RNAcentral is "bacterial SSU rRNA". It matches the Rfam family "Bacterial small subunit ribosomal RNA", at positions 509 to 917 of the family's 1533-position model. The record is from RNAcentral.